RNAcentral lists this ribosomal RNA (497 nucleotides) under uncultured bacterium. RNAcentral's name for it is "partial 16S ribosomal RNA". It matches the Rfam family "Bacterial small subunit ribosomal RNA", at positions 28 to 507 of the family's 1533-position model. The record is from RNAcentral.
GAUGAACGCUGGCGGCGUGCCUAAUACAUGCAAGUCGAGCGAACAGACGAGGAGCUUGCUCCUCUGACGUUAGCGGCGGACGGGUGAGUAACACGUGGAUAACCUACCUAUAAGACUGGUAUAACUUCGGGAAACCGGAGCUAAUACCGGAUAAUAUAUUGAACCGCAUGGUUCAAUAGUGAAAGACGGUUUUGCUGUCACUUAUCGGUGGAUCCGCGCCGCAUUAGCUAGUUGGUAAGGUAGCGGCUUACCAAGGCAACGAUGCGUAGCCGACCUGAGAGGGGGAUCGGCCACACUGGAACUGAGACACGGUCCAGACUCCUACGGGAGGCAGCAGUAGGGAAUCUUCCGCAAUGGGCGAAAGCCUGACGGAGCAACGCCGCGUGAGUGAUGAAGGUCUUCGGAUCGUAAAACUCUGUUAUUAGGGAAGAACAAAUGUGUAAGUAACUAUGCACGUCUUGACGGUACCUAAUCAGAAAGCCACGGCUAACUACGUG